RNAcentral lists this ribosomal RNA (253 nucleotides) under uncultured bacterium. RNAcentral describes it as "partial 16S ribosomal RNA". It matches the Rfam family "Bacterial small subunit ribosomal RNA", at positions 524 to 776 of the family's 1533-position model. The record is from RNAcentral.
UACGAAGGGGGCUAGCGUUACUCGGAAUUACUGGGCGUAAAGGGCGCGUAGGCGGCGCUCCAAGUUAGGCGUGAAAGUCCUGGGCUCAACCUGGGAACUGCGCUUGAUACUGGAGUGCUUGAGGAUGGAAGAGGGUCGUGGAAUUCCCAGUGUAGAGGUGAAAUUCGUAGAUAUUGGGAAGAACACCGGUGGCGAAGGCGGCGACCUGGUCCAUUACUGACGCUGAGGCGCGACAGCGUGGGGAGCAAACAGG